CGCAGUGCGUUUAGGAAGUUGUACGCAUACCCAACUGAAGCUUUCUUCCCUUCUCCAGUGGAGUGCACCUGCACAGAAACUCUCUCUGUACCACGUACCUGCUGCCAGAAGCUGGGAAGGAGUGGUGCUGGUGAUUCAAAACUGAUUUUCCUGCCUCUUCGAUGCCUCUUUUAGUGACAUACAGUUAAGACCAGGCACUCAAUGUGUGAAAGAGCCUCUUUCCCUACUGCUUCACCAAGUUUAAAACUUCAAAUUUUUUCAACUUGAUAGGGUAUAACCAGGAGUUGCGAAGUGGUCGUAGUUGUUCAUGUCUCAAUCUGGAUCAUCUUUGCUUUUUGCUUCUGCUUUGUGCUAUCCCUCUUCCCGUACCUCAGUUCUAUCUGGAACCAUGAUCUGUGACUGCCAUGGAAAAGUGUUGGGCAGGAGGAGGCCAGCUGGGUCUUUGAAGUUGACAAUGGAGCCAGGAAUGAAAGCUGCACUUAGGAUGAGAAUUGCUUUCCCUGGAGCCAAGUCAGCAAAUGCAGUCUGGUUGUCAGAGCUGAGAGGCUUCACCAAGUCAAGUAGGGGAGGACAUCUUCACUCUGCAACUUGCCCUACUGAAUGCAGAAAGUACUGUCUACUUAGAUAAAGCCUACACUAAAAGGGAAUUGAAUCUCUGCAAAUAAGUAUGUGGAUCUAAUUUCUACCUUCCAGAUUAAAAGUAUAAUUAAAAAUGAAAACCUUUGUAGGACUAAAUUGAUUUUGCAGACAAAUCUCACUUCUUAGCUUGAGCUGACUUAUUCCCAAUCUUAAACCCUAAUUAAUAACAUACAAGAAUGAGU
RNAcentral lists this long non-coding RNA (821 nucleotides) under Homo sapiens (human). RNAcentral's name for it is "HSALNT0361776". The record is from RNAcentral. Lineage: Eukaryota; Metazoa; Chordata; Mammalia; Primates; Hominidae.